AUUGAACGCUGGCGGCAGGCCUAAUACAUGCAAGUCGAACGGUAACAUAAAAGAAGCUUGCUUCUUUUGAUGACGAGUGGCGGACGGGUGAGUAAUAUUUGGGAAACUACCUGAUAGAGGGGGACAACAGUUGGAAACGACUGCUAAUACCGCAUAUAGCCUAAGGGUGAAAGCAGCAAUGCGUCUGAUUAGCUAGUUGGUGAGGUAACGGCUCACCAAGGCGACGAUGCGUAGCCGACCUGAGAGGGUGAUCGGCCACAUUGGGACUGAGACACGGCCCAGACUCCUACGGGAGGCAGCAGUGGGGAAUAUUGCACAAUGGGGGAAACCCUGAUGCAGCAACGCCGCGUGAGUGAUGACGGUCUUCGGAUUGUAAAGCUCUGUCUUUAGGGACGAUAAUGACGGUACCUAAGGAGGAAGCCGAACGGGCUAACGUACGUGCCAGCAGCCG
This 451-nucleotide ribosomal RNA is filed under the name uncultured bacterium. Its description in RNAcentral is "bacterial SSU rRNA". It matches the Rfam family "Bacterial small subunit ribosomal RNA", at positions 30 to 517 of the family's 1533-position model. The record is from RNAcentral.